RNAcentral lists this ribosomal RNA (497 nucleotides) under uncultured bacterium. RNAcentral's name for it is "partial 16S ribosomal RNA". It matches the Rfam family "Bacterial small subunit ribosomal RNA", at positions 28 to 507 of the family's 1533-position model. The record is from RNAcentral.
GAUGAACGCUGGCGGCGUGCCUAAUACAUGCAAGUCGAGCGAACAGAUGAGGAUCUUGCUCCUCUGACGUUAGCGGCGGACGGGUGAGUAACACGUGGAUAACCUACCUAUAAGACUGGGAUAACUUCGGGAAACCGGAGCUAAUACCGGAUAAUAUAUUGAACCGCAUGGUUCAAUAGUGAAAGACGGUUUUGCUGUCACUUCUAGAUGGAUCCGCGCCGCAUUAGCUAGUUGGUAAGGUAACGGCUUACCAAGGCAACGAUGCGUAGCCGACCUGAGAGGGUGAUCGGCCACACUGGAACUGAGACACGGUCCAGACUCCUACGGGAGGCAGCAGUAGGGAAUCUGCCGCAAUGGGCGAAAGCCUGACGGAGCAACGCCGCGUGAGUGAUGAAGGUCUUCGGAUCGUAAAACUCUGUUAUUAGGGAAGAACAAAUGUGUAAGUAACUAUGCACGUCUUGACGGUACCUAAUCAGAAAGCCACGGCUAACUACGUG